This 407-nucleotide ribosomal RNA is filed under the name [Lipomyces] oligophaga. RNAcentral describes it as "SSU rRNA". It matches the Rfam family "Bacterial small subunit ribosomal RNA", at positions 488 to 940 of the family's 1533-position model. Lineage: Eukaryota; Fungi; Ascomycota; Lipomycetes; Lipomycetales; Lipomycetaceae. The record is from RNAcentral.
GUACCAGCUAAGUCCCGUGCCAGCAGCUGCGGUUAUACGGGGGGUGCAAACGUUAAUCAUAAAAUUUGGUCUAAAACGUAAGUAGGUUGUUUUUAUUAUCUCUAUUAGAGUUUAUAAAACUAGAAUUAUAUAGGAGCUAAUAGUACUAUUAGAGUAAAGCUCAUAUUUGGAUACUAAUAGGACUAUUAAUGGUGAAGACAGUUAGCUAUAUAUAAUUGACACUGAGGUACCAAAGCUAAGGUAGCGAAUCGGAUUAGAUACCCGAGUAGUCUUAGCCCGUAACUAUGAAUACUAUUUAUAUUUUAUAAUAUAAAAAAGCGAAGGCGUUAAGUAUUCUACCUGGAGAGUAUAUUCGCAAGGAUUAAACCCAAGACAUUAGGCAGUUGCAGGCCUUAGCAGUUAAGCAU